GUCCAGACUCCUACGGGAGGCAGCAGUGGGGAAUAUUGCACAAUGGGGGAAACCCUGAUGCAGCGACGCCGCGUGAGUGAAGAAGUAUUUCGGUAUGUAAAGCUCUAUCAGCAGGGAAGAAAAUGACGGUACCUGAUUAAGAAGCCCCGGCUAACUACGUGCCAGCAGCCGCGGUAAUACGUAGGGGGCAAGCGUUAUCCGGAUUUACUGGGUGUAAAGGGAGCGUAGACGGCAGCACAAGUCUGGAGUGAAAUGCCGGGGCUUAACCCCGGAACUGCUUUUGAAACUGUGCAGCUAGAGUGCAGGAGAGGUAAGUGGAAUGCCUAGUGUAGCGGUGAAAUGCGUAGAUAUUAGGAGGAACACCAGUGGCG
This 371-nucleotide ribosomal RNA is filed under the name uncultured bacterium. RNAcentral describes it as "bacterial SSU rRNA". It matches the Rfam family "Bacterial small subunit ribosomal RNA", at positions 329 to 717 of the family's 1533-position model. The record is from RNAcentral.